UACGAAGGGGGCUAGCGUUGCUCGGAAUCACUGGGCGUAAAGCGCACGAAGGCGGAUUGUUAAGUCAGGGGUGAAAUCCUGGAGCUCAACUCCAGAACUGCCUUUGAUACUGGCGAUCUCGAGUCCGGGAGAGGUGAGUGGAACUGCGAGUGUAGAGGUGAAAUUCGUAGAUAUUCGCAAGAACACCAGUGGCGAAGGCGGGUCUCUGGGCCGAUACUGACGCUGAGGAGCGAAAGCGUGGGGAGCGAACAGG
RNAcentral lists this ribosomal RNA (253 nucleotides) under uncultured bacterium. RNAcentral's name for it is "partial 16S ribosomal RNA". It matches the Rfam family "Bacterial small subunit ribosomal RNA", at positions 524 to 776 of the family's 1533-position model. The record is from RNAcentral.